UAAUGGAAAGUGGUGGAAAGUGGUGUUGCUUCAUGGUUGUGAGUUAUUUCCAGUGUGCAAUCAAGAAGCUGGUCAAAAAGCUUGCUAAGAAGUACCAUGCUUUCCUAGCAUCAGAGGCGAUCAUGUAUAUUCACAUUUGUUCUAUGUGAAGCAGAUAGUAUUCCAUAUGUAAAUUUGGAUGAUUUGACUUGUAUUCCUUGUCUUUGUAAAGAUUAAAUGCUUUUUGAAUAUUGCUGGUAUUAGAUGAAUGAACAGAUAACUUGUAAAGGUUAAUUCCUUAUGUUCAGCUUUUUGUAAAGAUUGAAUGCCUUCUUAAUGUCAAUGAUGCUGGGACAAGAUUGAAUGACUUAUUUUUGUCAUGCUUAUGAUAACUUCUCAUCUUCAUAAAUAUCAUACCAGUUUUUGUUUCUUUUACAUUUUUUACGAUCUUGCCUUUCGUGUUUUUAAUGGUUCGGUUUUUCUUAUGUUGUUUUCUUUUUUUAUCAUCUCUCUAAUAUUUUCUAGGCUUUCUUAUGUUGUUUUAUUUUUUUGAUUUUUAGAGGAACUAUGUCAGUUGAUCGUAAUUGGAUGUACCACCGACUUAGUGAAAAUGGUUAUAUAAGAGCUGAGUUCUGUGAUGGAGUUAAAGGGUUCCUUGAGUUUGCAUUUACUCAGUUAGAGUAUUGUAGUGGUGAUAAGAUUAGAUGCCCUUGUAUAAGAUGUGACAACCAGAAAUUUCUUAACCGUGAUACGGUCAAUGUUCAUCUGUUGAGAAAGGGGUUUACACCGAUCUAUAUAUUGUUAGGAGAUACACACAAUUCUUCCAGGACAAUUGCAUCAUGUGCAUGAAGUUUGGAACAAGCAUUGUCAGCGACGAUUGACAACCUCAUUAGGGAAGGUCAGAAGCCAAAAGCUUCUGGAAGCAAAAGGAGAUUUAAACAAAGCCCGUGAUAAACCCCCUAAUUGGAUCUCUAGAGAAAAUUGGAAUAAGCUAAUUGAUAUUUGGAUCUCCCCAAAAUGGAAGAAGAAAUCAGAAGCCAACAAAAAUAAUAGAAACACCAUGAAGAACGGUAGCAUCUCUAAACACUGUGGAGGAUCAAUCACAUUUAUCAAUCAUGACGAACGAUUGAAAUUAAAGUUAGGCAGGGAGCCAACAAUAGUUGAAUCAUUUAAUCGGACGCAUAAGACAAAGCAAGGCAUGGGAGGAUAUGUAGAUAAGAGAAGUGAAGCUGUCAUGGCAAAGUAUUCAGCUGAAUACUCC
Non-coding RNA from Phoenix dactylifera (date palm), 1240 nucleotides. NCBI's taxonomy places the organism in Eukaryota, Viridiplantae, Streptophyta, Magnoliopsida, Arecales, Arecaceae. The record is from RefSeq and is a predicted model, not a curated record.